CUUCGACGCAUAUCCCGUAUGGCAGUGCAAUUCCAGUUUCUCUACAAUGUGAUUGUAGUGGUCAUAAAUUUCAACAACCCAAAAUGAUAAAGUGGCCUUAGAAGAGGUAGGGUGUGGGAGUUGGAGGUGACAUCAUCAUUGGGUGAGUCAAAGCUGGGCAUCCAAUUAUUGGGAAAGAAAAGGUACUUUUUAGUAGGGAGGGAAGUGAAAGAUUCCACCAUCAAAGGAAGGUGUGAGCGGAUGAGGUGGGGGGAAGAGCUAGAAUAAAGGGAGGCAGAGACGUGGGAAGAGUGGAGAGUCAGUGUAAAAUCGAAGAGAAAUAAUUGUAGGGAGGAUGAUAGAGGUGGUGGUGGAGGAAAAGGCAGAGGAGCGACCACAUGUUAGGAUAGAAGGAAAGAUGACAAAGAAGGCAGUGAGGAAAGAGGAUAGAAGGCAUCUUCGAUGGCGUCUAAGGUAAGGUUGGAAUGGGUUGACAGAGUUGGUGGUAGCAUUGUAGUGGCACAAUAGGUUGCAGGAAUUUAGGCCCAUCCAAUGGUUGUAGAUCUAGAGGUACUGUGACAAAAGUUUGGUUUGGGUUAGUUGACUCGUUUUUUGUUCCUCAUUUUUGGACUUAUUUUAUUAAUUUCUUGAAAAUAUUCUCCUUUUAAGCUUAUUUUGUUAAUUUAUUAUAAAAAUGAGCUGGCUAGUGGACAGUUCGACUCAUGAGACCCACAAACCUAAGGGCCGAGCUAAACUCUAUUUGGCACUGUUUCUCACCAUAGUCGCUACCUUCCACGACUACCAUCACCUUUCGCCCUGUGCCAUUAUCUAAACCUAGUAUCAACAUCAAAACCCACAUUUGAAACCACUAUCGAAAUCACCACCAUCAUCUGAACAUAAUUAUCUAAAAAUCACGAGUAUCAUCAACAUUAAAGAAUUCCGACAAUGCUCCUCAGCCUAAGAAAUUUGAGCCUCAAUCAAAGUCAAUUUCACUACCACCAUGGACCUACGUCAUCCUACUUCCCAAAGACUAAGUCCUAGGUUAUGCACAGGGAUAGCUUGGAUAGAGGGAAAUGCUAGGAUGUAGUCCAAUGCUUCCCAGGCCCAGGUCCAGUAAAAGGUCGAAGAAAAUGAAUAAAAUGUCUUAAAUAUAGUCCAUGGCCCACUAACAAUCAACUAGCACAACCCAAUUUCAAGAAUCAAUAUUUUAUUUUAAUCUUUUGACCCAAUUAUUUGUUUUAGCUUUAGCCUAUUACUCAUAACAAGUUAAGAAAUAUCUUCUUCCUUUUCUGUUGAUUUGAAACAAUUGAAAAAAAAAAUUCUCAAAUCUUUUUAAAUGUUUAACACUAAUUCUUUCGAUUCUUUUGUUUAGCUACCUCCCCACCAGAGUCGUUGGCCGUCAACAACAAAUAAAUAAAACACUAAAGCAUGAGCAAGACAUCCAGCAAUGUUUUGGGAAAUUAAUUUGAGCAUUUUGAAAAUCGAACAUUCGGUCAUUGGUUUGUAAUUGUGGUCAUUUUUUAUACUUAUAUCAAAAUACCUUUCUUGAUUUUUUCAUUCAUUGUAUUUCUUAAAUUUUUAGAAUCUCGUUGAUCUCGAUUUCUGUAGGGAUGAUGUGGUCAAUAGAUCCCAUUUCAGAGCCAUGCCGCAUUGAAUGUUGUGGUGUGCUGUAUUGAGUACUGUGUUGGUAUUGCGACUUAUGUUUGACAUGUAAUACUAGACUUAAAUAUUUAAUUUGAAUGGAGCCA
Molecule: long non-coding RNA, 1727 nt
Filed under: Olea europaea subsp. europaea
Lineage: Eukaryota; Viridiplantae; Streptophyta; Magnoliopsida; Lamiales; Oleaceae
Source: RNAcentral